GUUCCUGUAGUUGAAAAUAACAACAGCGGCUUUUCAAGCCGCAGGUCUCGGAUAGUGGCCGAGCAGGAAUA
RNAcentral lists this transfer RNA (71 nucleotides) under Sibirionetta formosa (Baikal teal). RNAcentral describes it as "tRNA-Glu". It matches the Rfam family "tRNA". From Rfam's summary of the family: Transfer RNA (tRNA) molecules are approximately 80 nucleotides in length. Their secondary structure includes four short double-helical elements and three loops (D, anti-codon, and T loops). Further hydrogen bonds mediate the characteristic L-shaped molecular structure. tRNAs have two regions of fundamental functional importance: the anti-codon, which is responsible for specific mRNA codon recognition, and the 3' end, to which the tRNAs corresponding amino acid is attached (by aminoacyl-tRNA synthetases). tRNAs cope with the degeneracy of the genetic code in two manners: having more than one tRNA (with a specific anti-codon) for a particular amino acid; and 'wobble' base-pairing, i.e. permitting non-standard base-pairing at the 3rd anti-codon position. Lineage: Eukaryota; Metazoa; Chordata; Aves; Anseriformes; Anatidae. The record is from RNAcentral.